GUUGGAUUAUUGUCUAAGUCCAUAACUAUUUUGGUAUGUACUUGACCCGAUGGUGCAUGGUCCUUUUGGGUUGCCUUCACCAAAGCAACUUGAUUGGAGAAAUAAAUAAAGAGAGAGAGGUUAUUAUGAUUUAUUAAUAUAUUAUAAGAAUAAUAUAUUGAAGGAGAAAUCAUAUUUGUUUAAUUAAUAUUGGUCAAUAAUUAAUUAAGAAUUAAUUUUGUGAUCAAGUGUAAUUAAUUAAACUAGAGGGGCUGAAUUGUAAUUAUGUGAUAGUUACAAAAUAAGGUAAGAAUUAUCUUAUAUAUAUGGUGGACGAAUUUGAAGUGAUAAUCACUAAGAAUUCGACUAUGAUAAGGAUUCAAUGAUUAUCUUAUGGGUUGCUUGGUGGAUAAGCAACUAGAUAAGGAUAAUGACUGAAACUCUAUCUUUACACCUAUAUAAAGACCCCAAGGCUCAUGAAUUCGUGUACUUGAUCUCUAGAGCAUCUAAGGACGAAUUCCUACCCUUCUCCUCUCUCUUUAUACCUUCUCCACUUGAUUAUGGUGUUUGUAAGCCAUUAGAGGAGUGACACUUGUGACUCUCAGCUUUCCAAAGUCAAUUCAAGGAGGAAUUGGAUUGUUAUUGCUAUAUAACAAUCAAGGUAUGUUCUUAAACCUAUUUACAUGUGAAUUCUGAUUUCCAUAUGCUAGAAUUAGGGUUCAAAGUCUUGGAUUCAAAGUAUGUACAAUAGAGAAACCUAGAUCCGAGCUUUAGGGUUUGUAUGAGCACAUAGGAUGUCUUAUGACCAAAACCCAUCAGUGGUAUCAGAGCCUAGACUGGUUUCAAUUGUAUUGAUGCAUUGUAUAUCUGAAAAAUUCGAUUUUUGGUGUUCUGGAGGCUGGACUCGCCGAGUCCAUAGCUGAACUCGCCGAGUCCAUGCAGACUCGACGAGUCCAAGCUUGACUCGACGAGUCAACUCGUCAGAUGGAGCAUAUCUCGGGAUUUCUUGCUGUUUUUGCUUAUGGAUAGUUACCUUAUCAUAUUAGAUCAAUAUAAAUCCGAUUUUAUGAUAUAUUUGACUAUAUUCUUGAUCUAAUUGAAGAUAUUUAUCAAUUAAUAAAAUAUUUGUUUCCUUAUGUGAUAAUUGAUUAAUUAUUUUGAUUAAAUUGAUAAAUUGUUUUGCAAGAAAUCAUUAAAUAAAUCAAAUAUGGAUAAUUAUGUGAUUAAAUGUUAAUUUAGAUUAUUUGUUAUUUGAUCCUUGUUGUUAUGAAAAGUUUCAUAUUUUCCCCUUUAGGUUUUAUAGUUUAAAUUUGAACCCAAAAGUUUUGUUGUUUUGAAAUUUAAAUAGUUGAAACCCUAAUGUUUUGAAAAAGGUUUCAAAACUUGCCCUCAAGUUUUGGAAUUUAAAUUUUGAUUAAAUAGUUUAAUUUUGAUGUAUAUUUAAAUUCUAAACCCUAAUGUGUUGAAAUGUUUCAAAACUUGCCCUCAAGUUUUGGAAUUUAAAAGUUGAUUAAAAGUUUAAUUAGGAAUGUUAAAUUCUAAAACUCUAGUAUUGUUUUGAAAAAGUUCAAAUCACACCCUUAUGGUUUUAUUAAUUAAUUAAGGUGUAUAAUUAAAAGAGGUUUAAUAAAUCCAUAAAAGUUUUGGUUUACAAUUUAAUUGAAUUAAAAGUAUAAUUGUUAAAUUUGACCACCUAGUAUUUUAAAAGUGUAAAAUACACCCUAUACUAUAUAUAACAUUAAAAGUCUAACAUUAUAUAUAUGUAUGAGUAAAAGUCAGUCUUACCGUUAGUAGGCCUCAUUCACGAAGCUGGUCUAUAAGGGGUGUUUAAGGAAAUUGCCUAUAAAAUGGCGAUUGAAUGGGUAUCCACUCUUACCCACCGCACUCUUGACUAGUGGAGGGUCGUUAGCCGAACGGGUAGGAUAGGACGAAACCUUCCAUUAUAAGUAUAAUGAAUUAUAAAAGUAACUAAAUGUUUUCAUAAAAUUCCCAAUCUUAGUUACUUAGGCAAAAGUGAAUUGAUGCAAUUCCAUGAAAUUACACUUUGUGCCCUUGCGAAGACGUUAGUGGAGCGUGUGUGGUUUACCGGCACACUAAAUGGUUCUAAGCAAAGGUAGCAAAGGGUGACUCAAUGUUUGUCAUAGUUCGGUGGAGCGUGUGUGGUUUACCGGCACAUCGAAUAGGUGACUGUAACAUGUGAGGGCACCAUGUAAGUUUGCAUGGUUAUUCACACCCGCUUUGUGAUCCUCGGCAUCCCAGUCACAAACUAGAGGGGCAUAUCGAGAUUUAAACAUGCCAUUGAAAUGUUCAAUGAAUCUCAAAGGAUCUAGGAGUUUUCAUAGAUUUAAAACUUAAAUUUCUUUUUCGUUUUUCAUGGUGGAAAUUAGUGAAUCGUCAUUCACUUACCUUCAAAUGUUCUGCAAUUUGGGUUACGGCAUCCCUCUCCCGAGUUGUAGAAUAUUGUGUUGGGUCCUAGCCUUAGUAUCUCAUUUGGGUGAUUUACUAAGGACUCAAUCAAUCAACUAACUUGAAUUCGUUUUCUCCCGUUUUGUAGAUGUCAAAGUUCGACAACUAUGGUCUUCCCAAAUCCCGUGGAACAAGCAUUCCACAUGAAGAUGAUAUUCCACGAUUCGAUCGAGGAACAAGAAAUCAUGCUUCACUUCCUCCACCUCCUCCAAUUAUUCUCCCUAACCCACAAGUUCAAAGGCUUGAAAAGUUCAAGAUCACUCAAGCCCUUUUGGCAAGUAAACAUAAAGAAGGAAAGUCGGUGUGUGCACACGUCCUAGGGAUGAAGUCACACAUUGAUAGGUUAAGAAUGUUGGGAUCCGUUGUCUGUGAGGAAAUGGCUGUUGAUUGGGUUCUUCAGUCACUUCCUAACUCAUAUAGUGAGUUCGUAAGAGAGUACUAUAUGAUGAACUGCGACGUGACCCUUAUAGAUCUCACCUAUAUGCUUAUUGCUGCUGAAUCAGCAAUGGUUUGGCGCAAUAGAAAAGCAAAGUUGAUUGGUGAAUCUGCCUUCAAGACCUCUAUGGAUAUAGACAAUGGCAACGAAAGACAUGCUAUGAUCGAAAAGUUUGAUCAUAAGAGAAAGACAAUGUCUGAAGUAGUUCCAUGUCAUGUUCCAAAAGAGUCAAUUUGCUUUUAUUGCCAAGAGAAAGGGCAUUGGAGACGAAGCUGCCCCAUUUACCUAAGAGAUCUAAGAGAUGGGAGAGUCGAAACGUAUGGCUCUAAUAUAGGUAAAAUCCAUUAACUAACUCUUUUAAGCUUCUAUUCUAGAUUCUUAAUACAUAAUGUGAUAAGAUUACAAUUGAUGUUUUGUAGGAUCGAAGAAAAGAAAGGAAGCUUAAGGGAAGAAGUGAGCAGAAUCUAACCGUGAAGGAAUGGAUUUCGAUCGCAUUUCUCAAAGAUUAGAUUCUUGAGCUACUACUUAGAGUUAGAAUUAGAUUGCUAAGAAAGAUGUAUUAGCAUAAGUUUUUCAAUGAGUUGCAUUGUAAGGACAAAUUUUUCCGCAAUAAAAUAAAUUUUGAUUUUAAAUUUUAUUUAUUUAUCCUUACAAUGGCGUGUAUGAAAAAUUGAUGUUAAAAUGUUUCUAUUAUUAGCAAUAAUGGAUUUGGUUCUUAUUAUGUUAUUUAUGGAAAGUCGAGAAUUUACCAAAUAGGGAGAGUUUCUCAUCGCCCAAGUUUCAAUUGGACAGAAACUUGGAAUCAUGCAACUUGGUUGCACGAUGAAUGAGAAAUUUCAUAUUUGGAAAUUAGACUAAUUCAUUGACAAAGUGUCAAGUGAAGGACUAGGAGAUCGAGUACACAAAGUUGCGUGUUGAUCAAGUCCACCAUAAGAGUAACAAAGAUAUUCGUCAUGAUUUACUAAAGGUUUAGUAAAUAUGAUUAUACUUAUAAGAUUAAGUGUAAUUCUGAAUUGAUUGAAAAGGUUUAAAUCAAUAGCAGAACGAAUAAGAAGAAUCAAGUAGGCAGAAAGAUAAAAGUUUCUCCAUUCUAAGAAGAAGGGAGAGUACCUUUUAUGCUUUAUGAUAGGUCUUAAUGAUUAAGAACCAUAUCUCAAUUGAUCCUCUAAGUGAGUCUUAGUACAAUUGUAUGUCUAAGAAGAGGAAUCAAGAAUUGAAGAAAUGGUUAAAUCAAUAAGUCAAUCAUACUUCGUUCCAAUAACAAGUCUUAAAGUUAAGAUUGUGACAUUGAGUGAAAGGUAUUAAGAAGGUUUGUAACUUUCAUUAAAUGUGGAAAGUUGUGAUGUCUUGGAUAAGACAAAGACCAACUAGGACCAAUUUAUGAAGUGUUUUGAUAAAAGCUACACUAACUCUUGAAUAUUUGUUUGUCAAGAAAUGUUUUUUGACAAGAGAAUCUUAUAUGUCAAGGAGUCAGUGGGAGUCUUAAUGGUCUUGAAAGGUUUCAAGAACAAAUCAAAUAAACCUUAUCGAUCAUCACUAGCACACGAGUUGAGGUUUACAACCUAUCGUGUUGACAUUAUUUUGAUUCUGUGCCAAUCCAAUCGAGUUAAUUAUGCAUGUGAGUUCUAUGAGUUCUCAUUUUGAACGCAUAAAAGGCAAAGCACCUUAAUCAAUGAAAGGUACAUUGAUAGGAAAGGGUGAGCUGCUUAACUACUUGGAAGACAUGGUGGGCAGCUGUGCUACCAUAAAGGCAAGAAAUCGAGAUCAAGAAAGUUCGAUCCAUAAGAGUUUGAAUUUGUCGUAAACUUUGGUUUUGACAAAUUCACAUGGAUAGGAACAAAUACACCGUUUAAAUCUAAGUGUCAUAAGAUUUCCUCCUUCAUGAAAAUGAUUGUGAGGAAAUGCUUUCACUAAGACAGAUUUUAAGAAGAUAGUGAUUGUAAAAUUGCAUUCUCGAAUUCAAUUAUGGUUACGGCAUCCCUUUCCAUAAUUUGAAUUGUGAGGUUUGGCAAUUAGUCUUAAUUGUUUAGACACACAUAUGAACUAUCGAAGGCAAAUGUGUAUAAGUUCAAGAAACCUUGAUAAAAGAUUAUCAAAGCACUAAGUAUUAGAAACAUGAACUUAAGAAAUUCAAUAAGCAUUUUUUUUCUGAAAGUUAAGAUGUUUAUGAAUACAUGUCGAAGCUAGUGGGAGCAUAAGUGUUAUGUUUUAUAAUAAUCAUCAAGAUAGUGGGAGCAUAAAAGUUAUGAUUGUAUGAUUAUUAAGGAAAGUAUUGCAAGGUUAGCAAUAUUAAUUAUAGAAAACAAGAGUCAUACUUUGCAAAGUCGCAAUAGUUGAAGAGUUGUUUUGCUAUAAUUAAGGGAGAGAAUAUUAUGCUUCAUUUCAAAUCUAAAGGUUUAGGUUGAGAAAUGUUAAUAAAAUUUAGUCAAAGGUACAAAGUGUGUUCUUAAAAUUUCGAUUAUGAUUACGGCAUCCCUCUUCACAAUUCGAAUUUUGAGAACAUAGCAAAUAAAACAUUAUGCGUCGUGUCCCAUACGCUUCGGGUAUAGGAUCGAUUGCAAAUGCUUUAAUGUUUGACCAUUCUAAAAUUUUCCAAAUGUCGAGCGCAUUUAGAGGGAAAAGGGACUAGAAUUGGUUUUGACUAAAACAAUUAAACAACUAUCAAAGGACAAUCCAAAGUUCGACGAGGAUUGGUCGCUUGUGAGUAGUUGGAAGUAUAGUAUUGGAAAAUAUGGAAAUGUUUCCAUAUUGGAUGGACCAUAUCGACAUCAUUACGAAUAGAUAAGAUUCUAUUAAGAAUGAGUUGUCAUAUGGAACAUAUGGAAGUGUGUCCAUAUUGGGAAUUGAAUAUUGAGAAAUCUAUGACUAGAUUAGAAACUUCUAUGCAAAAGGAUGUUCAAAGAAUGUACUUUGAGUGAGAGACAUCACAUCUAUGGAAUUGUCUUGUAACAAUCUCCGAUAGAGGACUUUGUAAUAUCAUUGGCAAUAGUCUUUGUGACUUUGGUGCAGUGACAUUACGAAAGGAUAAGUUGCAUAGAAUGUUAGAAUCUAGCAUAUUCUAUAAGUAGCAAGAAUUUGAUAUUCUUUCACUUAGAAAAAGGAUUUGGAGUUGUGAAAUGAGAAUGAUUGGAAAUGUGUUCAAUGUGAUCUAUUUCACAAAGUAAGAACCAUAGGUAAACAUUGUGUGCAUGCUAGGAGCAUGGGACAAGUGUUGUAAUUCAAGUAAGAAGUUGAUUACCCGAAACGACAAAUAAUGAGUAAUCAAUAUGGUGAUAAAUAAAAGGUGUUUUAUUUAUACUCAAAGGUUUGAGGCCAUAUGGGAUUAGUAUUAUUCUUGUGUUUCACAUUUGCAUGUUUUGACUUCCAGAAUAAUUGAGUUUAUUAAGAAUAAUCGAAUUAUUCAAACGGGCCACAGUCGUUCAUAUGUUGGAAGUAGAUAUGAAUGAAGACUGUCGUGAAUUGGUGUGUGGAUUGUCUAAAAGAGUAUUAGACAUAAGCAAAUGUUUGCUGCAACGUUCAUGAGUGCUUAUGAAUAUGAUUUGAGCAUUGGAUUAAACCCACGCUCACUUGGAUCACUCCAUGAAUUGUAUCACGAGUGAUUGGUGAGACGAUAACAUCUUAUAUUCUUGAAACCGAGAUGUGUGAGUUGUAUCUUGCAAAUCGGUUGCACAUUGAUAAUAUGUAAACGCACCAGUAACUUGGUGUUAUAAAACAUAUUGUUGUGUGUGAUUCGGUGCGUGAGUGCAAGCAAGCAUUGUAUCAAAGUUUAUCCGUUCCUUUUAUUCAAAGUAGGAUAAAAGCGAUAUCUUUGGGCCCCUCGAUGGUUUAGUGAUGACAAACGUAAAUGCUCGGCCGGGCUAGGGCUAAUUUGAUUUGUUCAAUUAGUCAGUCGUCAUAAAUCGGAAAUCGAGAUAUAGUACAAAGAGAAUGAUUUGAAAUCAUAUCUCAUAUGAUAUCUAGAAUGGAGGAAUAUAUGAUCCCUUAUCUAAGGACACGCGUAUUUGAUAUGAUCAGAGUUGACAGCGGCUUUGGAAAGCUACGAUUGCAGAUCGGGAUCCGAAGUCAUACGCAGAAUAGUUGUUAGACUUAUCCAAGUGGGAGACUGUUGGAUUAGUGUCUAAGUCCAUAACUAUUUUGGUAUGUACUUGACCCGAUGGUGCAUGGUCCUUUUGGGUUGCCUUCACCAAAGCAACUUGAUUGGAGAAAUAAAUAGAGAGAGAGGUUAUUAUGAUUUAUUAAUAUGUUAUAAGAAUAAUAUAUUAAAGGAGAAAUCAUAUUUGUUUAAUUAAUAUUGGUCAAUAAUUAAUUAAGAAUUAAUUUUGUGAUCAAGUGUAAUUAAUUAAACUAGAGGGGCUGAAUUGUAAUUAUGUGAUAGUUACAAAAUAAGGUAAGAAUUAUCUUAUAUAUAUGGUGGACGAAUUUGAAGUGAUAAUCACUUAGAAUUCGACUAUGAUAAGGAUUCAAGGAUUAUCUUAUGGGUUGCUUGGUGGAUAAGCAACUAGAUAAGGAUAAUGACUGAAACUCUAUCUUUACACCUAUAUAAAGACCCCAAGGCUCAUGAAUUCGUGUACUUGAUCCCUAGAGCAUCUAAGGACGAAUUCCUACCUUUCUCCUCUCUCUUUAUACCUUCUCCACUUGCUUAUGGUGUUUGUAAGCCAUUAGAGGAGUGACACUUGUGACUCUCAGCUUUCCAAGGUCAAUUCAAGGAGGAAUUGGAUUGUUAUUGCUAUAUAACAAUUAAGGUAUGUUCUUAAACCUAUUUACAUGUGAAUUCUGAUUUCCAUAUGCUAGAAUUAGGGUUCAAAGUCUUGGAUUCAAAGUAU
Molecule: long non-coding RNA, 7704 nt
Filed under: Lactuca sativa (garden lettuce)
Lineage: Eukaryota; Viridiplantae; Streptophyta; Magnoliopsida; Asterales; Asteraceae
Description: long non-coding RNA (LSAT_LNC006751)
Source: RNAcentral